GCCUGGGUGGCUUAGUUGUUAAGCGUCUGCCUUCGGCUCAGGGGUGGUCCCAGCGUUGUGGGAUCGAGCCCCACAUCAGGCU
Molecule: transfer RNA, 82 nt
Filed under: Ailuropoda melanoleuca (giant panda)
Lineage: Eukaryota; Metazoa; Chordata; Mammalia; Carnivora; Ursidae
Rfam family: tRNA
About the family: Transfer RNA (tRNA) molecules are approximately 80 nucleotides in length. Their secondary structure includes four short double-helical elements and three loops (D, anti-codon, and T loops). Further hydrogen bonds mediate the characteristic L-shaped molecular structure. tRNAs have two regions of fundamental functional importance: the anti-codon, which is responsible for specific mRNA codon recognition, and the 3' end, to which the tRNAs corresponding amino acid is attached (by aminoacyl-tRNA synthetases). tRNAs cope with the degeneracy of the genetic code in two manners: having more than one tRNA (with a specific anti-codon) for a particular amino acid; and 'wobble' base-pairing, i.e. permitting non-standard base-pairing at the 3rd anti-codon position.
Source: Rfam by way of RNAcentral